CACUAAGAAGCUUAAAUAGCAUCAGCCUUUUAAGUUGAAGAGGAAAAUACAAUUUCCUUAGUGG
Molecule: transfer RNA, 64 nt
Filed under: Sistrurus miliarius (pigmy rattlesnake)
Lineage: Eukaryota; Metazoa; Chordata; Lepidosauria; Squamata; Viperidae
Description: tRNA-Lys
Rfam family: tRNA
About the family: Transfer RNA (tRNA) molecules are approximately 80 nucleotides in length.
Source: RNAcentral